Thalassophryne amazonica is the source of this 95-nucleotide long non-coding RNA. RefSeq lists it as uncharacterized. The record is from RefSeq and is a predicted model, not a curated record. The transcript is spliced from 3 exons. Lineage: Eukaryota; Metazoa; Chordata; Actinopteri; Batrachoidiformes; Batrachoididae.
AAGAGGGCAGCAGAGAGGCUUAACACUGAUGCCUCACAGCCAGAAGGCCCCAGGUUCACUUCCAACCUGGUGCUUUGUGUGGAGUUUGUAUGUUC